Molecule: ribosomal RNA, 301 nt
Filed under: uncultured bacterium
Lineage: Bacteria
Description: partial 16S ribosomal RNA
Rfam family: Bacterial small subunit ribosomal RNA
Source: RNAcentral
CAGCAGCCACGGGAAUACGGAGGGUGCAAGCGUUAAUCGGAAUUACUGGGCGUAAAGCGCACGCAGGCGGUUUGUUAAGUCAGAUGUGAAAUCCCCGAGCUUAACUUGGGAACUGCAUUUGAAACUGGCAAGCUAGAGUCUUGUAGAGGGGGGUAGAAUUCCAGGUGUAGCGGUGAAAUGCGUAGAGAUCUGGAGGAAUACCGGUGACGAAGGCGGCCCCCUGGACAAAGACUGACGCUCAGGUGCGAAAGCGUGGGGAGCAAACAGGAUUAGAUACCCGGGUAGUCCCUGUCUCUUAUAC